RNAcentral lists this ribosomal RNA (468 nucleotides) under uncultured bacterium. Its description in RNAcentral is "partial 16S ribosomal RNA". It matches the Rfam family "Bacterial small subunit ribosomal RNA", at positions 28 to 507 of the family's 1533-position model. The record is from RNAcentral.
GACGAACGCUGGCGGCGUGCUUAACACAUGCAAGUCGAACGGAAAGGCCCUGCUUUUGUGGGGUGCUCGAGUGGCGAACGGGUGAGUAACACGUGAGUAACCUGCCCUUGACUUUGGUAUAACUUCAGGAAACUGGGGCUAAUACCGGAUAGGUGCUCCUUCUGCAUGGUGGGGGUUGGAAAGUUUCGGCGGUUGGGGAUGGACUCGCGGCUUAUCAGCUUGUUGGUGGGGUAGUGGCUUACCAAGGCUUUGACGGGUAGCCGGCCUGAGAGGGUGACCGGCCACAUUGGGACUGAGAUACGGCCCAGACUCCUACGGGAGGCAGCAGUGGGGAAUAUUGCACAAUGGGCGGAAGCCUGAUGCAGCAACGCCGCGUGCGGGAUGACGGCCUUCGGGUUGUAAACCGCUUUCGCCUGUGACGAAGCGUGAGUGACGGUAAUGGGUAAAGAAGCACCGGCUAACUACGUG